Long non-coding RNA from Tupaia belangeri chinensis (Chinese tree shrew), 224 nucleotides. RefSeq lists it as uncharacterized. The transcript has 3 exons. NCBI's taxonomy places the organism in Eukaryota, Metazoa, Chordata, Mammalia, Scandentia, Tupaiidae. The record is from RefSeq and is a predicted model, not a curated record.
GCAUAGUCCAGAUGGACCACCAAGAUAUAAUAUUAAAAGCAAUCACUAAUAUUUAUGAAAAGAACAAAGUUGAAGAGCAACAUAUGCAAGAAGAAGAUCAGAAUGAUAAAAAGAUGCCUACCAGAUUUGGGAAACAAAGUGAACAUCUUGAGCAUGCGAUUGAUCGUGUUCUUGUCAUGAUAUCGGAAAGAAGAAGGGCUCGUAGUCUACAUGGCACUAAUGAA